This 505-nucleotide ribosomal RNA is filed under the name uncultured bacterium. Its description in RNAcentral is "partial 16S ribosomal RNA". It matches the Rfam family "Bacterial small subunit ribosomal RNA", at positions 28 to 507 of the family's 1533-position model. The record is from RNAcentral.
GACGAACGCUGGCGGCGUGCCUAAUACAUGCAAGUAGAACGCACAGUUUAUACCGUAGCUUGCUACACCAUAGACUGUGAGUUGCGAACGGGUGAGUAACGCGUAGGUAACCUGCCUGGUAGCGGGGGAUAACUAUUGGAAACGAUAGCUAAUACCGCAUAAUAUUAAUUAUUGCAUGAUAAUUAAUUGAAAGGUGCAAUUGCACCACUACCAGAUGGACCUGCGUUGUAUUAGCUAGUAGGUGAGGUAACGGCUCACCUAGGCGACGAUACAUAGCCGACCUGAGAGGGUGAUCGGCCACACUGAGACUGAGACACGGCCCAGACUCCUACAGGAGGCAGCAGUAGGGAAUCUUCGGCAAUGGACGAAAGUCUGACCGAGCAACGCCGCGUGAGUGAAGAAGAUUUUCGGAUCGUAAAGCUCUGUUGUAAGAGAAGAACGGGUGUGAGAGUGGAAAGUUCACACUGUGACGGUAUCUUACCAGAAAGGGACGGCUAACUACGUG